CCUGGCUGCAUCAGGCUUUCUAAGCAUUGACUGUGGAUGUGCGUGCAGCCGCACCCUCUCCUGGAAUUCCUAUUGGUCUCCUCCUUGUCCUAAGCUGCUGCUCAGAAGCUCACCGUAAAGGAAACUAUGUUGCUGCCAUUUGACGUCAAAGCGCAUCGAUAACUGAUUCAGUAAUUGGCAACUACUCCUCUAUCAAUGUGUAUGCACAUGGAGACUUGGACUGUCAGAUAAGGGCAGAACGCCAACAACCAAGGCAAGAAGAAUGUGAAAAAGGAUUCAGUAUGUUCAAGAACCCCAAGCCUGAAUCGGAGAUGAGAAAGUGACCACAUCAAAAUGGAGAGAAAAGUAAAAGAUUGCUUCUGAAGAACCCAAAUGAAUGACAAAUGAUAACAGAACUUAAAUGGCAAAUCAAUACAA
RNAcentral lists this long non-coding RNA (417 nucleotides) under Homo sapiens (human). RNAcentral describes it as "HSALNT0109019". Lineage: Eukaryota; Metazoa; Chordata; Mammalia; Primates; Hominidae. The record is from RNAcentral.